Marmota flaviventris (yellow-bellied marmot) is the source of this 1929-nucleotide long non-coding RNA. RefSeq lists it as uncharacterized. The record is from RefSeq and is a predicted model, not a curated record. Lineage: Eukaryota; Metazoa; Chordata; Mammalia; Rodentia; Sciuridae.
UGGGGGUGAGGAAAGGCAGAGGGGACUUAUCUGGUAAUUCUAUCAAAGUAUCGUCCUUUGUGUACUGAGUUUAUUAAAUGAGUUACUACAAGGGCCAGCAUGUUUAUUAAUUUCUGUCUACGCUCAAAUUUUUUAAACAUGGUAACCUGAUGCAUAGGCAAGUUUUGAUCUUUGUUUUCUCUUUCAGAACUUGAAAAUAACAUUUUCUGAUCCCCAAUAGAUUAAUGGCUGAAGGAUCAACCUCAUUCUCAGAUGAACUUCACGUGUCCAUUGUGUGUCCAUUUGACUUAUUCUACAAAAUGUUCCAGCUUUGCUAUGAACCUCAGGAUCAUGACACUCUUCUCUCCUAAGGUGACUUCACCCAGGAAAUGCACCUGGUUCACUCCCUGAGCCCGUAGCCACCUGUGGUUCGAAGCCUUGACCUCGCUCACCAGUCCCAGGACUUCACCAGCAGCUCGGGCAAAGACAACAGGUCUCCCUUGAGCGGCGGGACAGUUUGAUUUGAAUCUUUAUAAAAAGAUAUUCUCUAAAGGACAUGGCCCCAGCCACUGUGGGUGGGCAGGAGAGGGAGAUGGCGAUCACAGACACAGUGACCAUGGUCUAGAAAGGACGGCACGCUGGGUAAACCUGCCAGAGGGCACAUGGAGUUUGCCCAAGCAGCGCUGGCCGAUGGUGAGCUCAGAAACCUUGGCAACGCCACAGAACCAGUAUUCUUACAGAAGUGGCUCAGGCCUGUCUCGAACAACGUGCUCAGUGUGCAAGACCCAGGCAGCUCGCUGUCGGGAUCCAGCAAGGGCACCUCUUCCUCCACCUCUUCUGAGCAAGCAGGCUGGGGCAGAAGCUGGAGUGAAGGUUGGGAGAGAGGAGGGCCAGCGGGAGGCAGGGACAAGGACGGCCACCUCUCGGCACUGCGGCGGCCUCCCUCGGCUCAGAGCAAAGCAGCUGCAGCACCCCCCGAUACAGCCCCUGGCCAGCUGCAGCCCGAGUGAGCCACCCCUUGAAGGCCACAGCACCCUCCUGCCCCUCGUCCCAGCCCCGGCACCUCUGCACUUCACGGCCAGGGCGACACCCGCAGCACCAGCCUGCACCCCGCUCCGCCCACCUGUUUCCUGGGGGGACUUCGGUGCCCCUCCUUGUUUAUGGAUAUCCUUUCUUCCCAAAGUCCGUAUCUUUUCCGGGGAGUGGGAGGAAGAAGCCAAGAGUUUGACCCCCCGGUCCACAGCAUAUCAGGUGGACACGGCUAGCAGCCCUGGCCGUGCACACCCCGGAGGUGGGCAGCUCAGGGCCCUAGGUCAGGGUUGAAGGCCAGGAGAGGGGUCACGAGACCAUAUCAGGGCUGCCAUAGCAAAGUCCCACCAGUGGGGUGGCUGCAGGUGGGUCUUCUCUCAGGGUUCUGGAGGCCAGAAGUCCAAGGUCAGGUGUGGGCAGCCCACGCUCCCUCUGAAGCCUCAGGUAGAAGCCGUCCUUGCCUCUUCCAGAUCCUGAACGGCCAGCCAUCCUCAGCUCAUGGCUGUGGCACUUUGGUCUCUGCCACCAUUGUCACAUGAUGUUCCCUCUCCCAUCUCUGUGUCUUCUCCUCUUCUUAUAAGGACACCAAUCAUACUGAAGCAGGAGUGCCCUCCUCCAACAGGGCCUCAUCUUAACUAAUCACGUCUGCAAUCCUAUUUCCAAAUCAGGUCACAUUCCAGUGACCUCCCGCGCCUGCCUCGGCACACUGCUGAUGCUGUUCCUCCUUCCGGAAAUGCCCUUCCCCUCUCUUGCUGCAUGUCUGCAAAGCACAUUCACAGUAACUGCUUAGAUGCCCUCUUCUCCCUGGAUCUCCUCGUAUGGCCCCAAUUCAGAGAAAGAGCUCCACGGUUCCUAAGUUCUCUCAAGGGAAUUUGUAUGUUCUACUUUAUGUCAAAACAAUAAAUCACUCUAUUUCUCUCA